This 335-nucleotide ribosomal RNA is filed under the name uncultured Tomentella. RNAcentral's name for it is "eukaryotic LSU rRNA". The stretch from base 1 to 72 matches the Rfam family "5.8S ribosomal RNA", at positions 84 to 154 of the family's 154-position model. The record is from RNAcentral. Lineage: Eukaryota; Fungi; Basidiomycota; Agaricomycetes; Thelephorales; Thelephoraceae.
GUGAGUCAUCGAAUCUUUGAACGCACCUUGCGCCCCUUGGCUAUUCUGAGGGGCAUGCCUGUUUGAGUAUCAUGAACACCUCAACUCUCAUGGUUCGCCGUGAUGAGCUUGGACUCUGGGGGUUUUGCUGGCCUGCGGUCGGCUCCCCUCAAAUAAAUCAGCCUCCCAGUGUUUGGUGGCAUCACGGGUGUGAUAAAUAUCUACGCUCGCAGUUGUCCGCCAGGUAACCUUUGGUGACAAAGGUUCGCUGGAGCUCACAGAUGUCUCUCCUCAGCGAGGACAGCUUUUUGAACGUUCGAUCUCAAAUCAGGUAGGACUACCCGCUGAACUUAAGC